GUGCUUGCUUUGGCAGCACAUACACUGCAAUUGGAAUGAUACAGAGAAGGUCAGCAUGGCCCCUGUGCAAGGAUGCACAGAAAUUUGUGAAGCAUUCCAUAUUUUU
This is a small nuclear RNA of Pongo abelii (Sumatran orangutan), 106 nucleotides long. The record is from Ensembl. Lineage: Eukaryota; Metazoa; Chordata; Mammalia; Primates; Hominidae.